GCUACAAUAACCAUAUGUGUGCAGGUGUCUUUUUCAUAUAAUGACUUAUCUUCCUUUAGAAAAAAAAAAAAGAAAAAGAAAAAAGGAAGAAAAAAAAAGAAAUCUCCAUACUGCUUUCCAUAUAGGUAAUACUAAUUUACAUUCCCACCCGCAGUGUAUAAGCGUUCCCUUUUCACCACAUCCAUGCCAACAUCUAUUGGUUUUUUUUUUCUUUUUUACAGCUGUUGCAAACAGAAUUAAGAUCUUGAUUUGAUUCUUAGCUUGGUG
Molecule: long non-coding RNA, 267 nt
Filed under: Homo sapiens (human)
Lineage: Eukaryota; Metazoa; Chordata; Mammalia; Primates; Hominidae
Description: non-protein coding lnc-GPR137B-7:1
Source: RNAcentral